Molecule: ribosomal RNA, 373 nt
Filed under: uncultured bacterium
Lineage: Bacteria
Description: bacterial SSU rRNA
Rfam family: Bacterial small subunit ribosomal RNA
Source: RNAcentral
AUACGUAGGGGGCGAGCGUUGUCCGGAUUUACUGGGUGUAAAGGGCGCGCAGGCGGUUUAGUAAGUCAGCUGUGAAAGUCCAGGGCUUAACCCUGGAAUUGCAGUUGAAACUACCAAACUUGAGAUAAGGAGAGGAGAGCGGAAUUCCUAGUGUAGCGGUGAAAUGCGUAGAUAUUAGGAAGAACACCAGUGGCGAAGGCGGCUCUCUGGCCUUACCCUGACGCUGAGGCGCGAAAGCGUGGGUAGCGAACAGGAUUAGAUACCCUGGUAGUCCACGCCGUAAACGAUGAGUGCUAGGUGUUGGGUGUCAAAGCUCAGUGCCGGAGUUAACACAUUAAGCACUCCACCUGGGGAGUACGGCCGCAAGGCUAAA